This 382-nucleotide ribosomal RNA is filed under the name uncultured eukaryote. Its description in RNAcentral is "partial 18S ribosomal RNA". It matches the Rfam family "Eukaryotic small subunit ribosomal RNA", at positions 592 to 976 of the family's 1831-position model. The record is from RNAcentral.
CAAUAGCGUAUAUUAAAGUUGUUGCAGUUAAAAAGCUCGUAGUUGGAUUUCUGGUUGAAGCGACCGGUCGGGCGUGGAUUCGUCUGCACUGGAGUCGGUUUUGGCCAUCCUCUAGGAAAGUGCGUCUGGUAUUAAGUUAUCGGGCGUAUGAUCCUGGUCUUUUACUGUGAAAAAAUUAGAGUGUUUAAAGCAGGCCUUCGCCUUGAAUACAUUAGCAUGGAAUAAUAAGAUAGGACUUUGGUCUAUUUUGUUGGUUUGCAGACCGAAGUAAUGAUUAAUAGGGAUAGUUGGGGGUAUUUAUAUUCCGAUGUCAGAGGUGAAAUUCUUAGAUUUUCGGAAGAUAAACUUAUGCGAAAGCAUUUACCAAGGAUGUUUUCAUUAA